RNAcentral lists this ribosomal RNA (253 nucleotides) under uncultured bacterium. Its description in RNAcentral is "partial 16S ribosomal RNA". It matches the Rfam family "Bacterial small subunit ribosomal RNA", at positions 524 to 776 of the family's 1533-position model. The record is from RNAcentral.
UACGUAGGGUGCAAGCGUUGUCCGGAAUUAUUGGGCGUAAAGAGCUCGUAGGCGGUUCGUCGCGUCGGCUGUGAAAACCUGAGGCUCAACCUCAGGCCUGCAGUCGAUACGGGCGGACUUGAGUACUGCAGGGGAGACUGGAAUUCCUGGUGUAGCGGUGAAAUGCGCAGAUAUCAGGAGGAACACCGGUGGCGAAGGCGGGUCUCUGGGCAAUAACUGACGCUGAGGAGCGAAAGCGUGGGGAGCGAACAGG